GACGAACGCUGGCGGCGUGCCUAAUACAUGCAAGUCGAACGCUUCUUUCCUCCCGAGUGCUUGCACUCAAUUGGAAAGAGGAGUGGCGGACGGGUGAGUAACACGUGGGUAACCUACCCAUCAGAGGGGGAUGACACUUGGAAACAGGUGCUAAUACCGCAUAACAGUUUAUGCCGCAUGGCAUAAGGGUGAACGGCGCUUUCGGGUGUCGCUGAUGGAUGGACCCGCGGUGCAUUAGCUAGUUGGUGAGGUAACGGCUCACCAAGGCCACGAUGCAUAGCCGACCUGAGGGGGUGAUCGGCCACACUGGGACUGAGACACGGCCCAGACUCCUACGGGAGGCAGCAGUAGGGAAUCUUCGGCAAUGGACGAAAGUCUGACCGAGCAACGCCGCGUGAGUGAAGAAGGUUUUCGGAUCGUAAAACUCUGUUGUUAGAGAAGAACAAGGACGUUAGUAACUGAACGUCCCCUGACGGUAUCUAACCAGAAAGCCACGGCUAACUACGUG
RNAcentral lists this ribosomal RNA (508 nucleotides) under uncultured bacterium. Its description in RNAcentral is "partial 16S ribosomal RNA". It matches the Rfam family "Bacterial small subunit ribosomal RNA", at positions 28 to 507 of the family's 1533-position model. The record is from RNAcentral.